UGUGAAUUAGUGUAUGAUGCACAUAAAAUUUUGAUUUUUAAAGAUGAGUUUAAUUCUUAAAUUUGCAG
RNAcentral lists this transfer RNA (68 nucleotides) under Cofana yasumatsui. RNAcentral's name for it is "tRNA-Gln". The record is from RNAcentral. Lineage: Eukaryota; Metazoa; Arthropoda; Insecta; Hemiptera; Cicadellidae.